CCUACGGGUGGCAGCAGUGGGGAAUAUUGCACAAUGGGGGAAACCCUGAUGCAGCGACGCCGCGUGCGUGAGGAAGUACCUCGGUAUGUAAAGCUCUAUUAGCACGGAAGAAAAUGACGGUACCUGAUUCAGAUGCCCCGUCUAACUACGUGCCAGCAGCCGCGGUAACACGCAGGGGGCCGGCGUUAUCCGGAUUUACUGGGUGUUAAGGGAGCGUAGGCGGUUCAUCAAGUCAGAUGUGAAAACCCAGGGCUCAACCUUGGGACUGCUUUUGAAACUGGGUAGCUAGAGUGCGGGGGAGGUAAGCGGAAUUCGUGGUGUAGCGGUGAAAUGCGUAGAUAUUAGGAAGAACACCGAUGGCGAAGGCAGCUUACUGGAGUGUAACUGACGUUGAGGCUCGAAGGCGUGGGUAGCGAACAGGAUUAGAUACCCUUGUAGUC
Molecule: ribosomal RNA, 440 nt
Filed under: uncultured bacterium
Lineage: Bacteria
Description: partial 16S ribosomal RNA
Rfam family: Bacterial small subunit ribosomal RNA
Source: RNAcentral